CAAACUUAUUAGAUUUUUGACCUUCUGUUUCGCGUUUAUUUCACUUAUUAGAUGAUAUCGGUUUAUAACACUUUUACUUAUUUUUUUUUUCAUGCAAAACCAGAAAACAAGCGCCACAAAAACUGUUCACAUUCGAUUCCGACCGUCGACAAUAAACGAAUGACAGUUAUCGCAGUUAUCAAAACAAACACCAACAGCUGAGUUGCCAGGUGUAAAGAUAAUCUAUUUAGAUUCAAAAACUUAUCAAAAGCUCUUCGUUACCUCCUGCCGCAGUGCUUGAAUUAAGCCAGGUUUUUCAUUAGAGAUGUUGAUGGUGCUGCUCCUGAUUUCCUUUGACGGAAUAUCUUUCUCGGCAUAGUCUUGUUUCGUCCCAUUAGAAAGUUGGACCGAUUCCGCGGAUGUUACGAAUGUUUUACUGGAUUCAUGCCUGGUGUCAAUCAAGACCUUUCGGCGAGCCGUCCGGCUUUGAUUUCCCGAGGCGUGAGAAUCGUUGACCUUUCUCACACUGUUGGUAUCAGCUUUCGACGGUAUUGUUCUUCCAAGCCAUGGAUAUGCACGAAACAAUCUGGACCGAAAUGAAGCGAGCAAAUGUACAUGUUUUUAGUAUUGCUGUUUAUGUUCUGUCCGAAAAAUCAAAACCAUUUCAUCCGAAUGGUUACAUCCCUCGGGAAUCGAUGAAAUGAUAGUUUAUGGGAAAU
Molecule: long non-coding RNA, 698 nt
Organism: Toxorhynchites rutilus septentrionalis
Lineage: Eukaryota; Metazoa; Arthropoda; Insecta; Diptera; Culicidae
Exons: 3
Source: RefSeq, a predicted model, not a curated record